RNAcentral lists this small RNA (63 nucleotides) under Pan troglodytes (chimpanzee). RNAcentral describes it as "retained intron". The record is from RNAcentral. Lineage: Eukaryota; Metazoa; Chordata; Mammalia; Primates; Hominidae.
GCAAGUUGCUUUGGCAGAUAUCAUUCUCAUUAUAAAACAGACUUGGUUCCAGAAGAAGAUGUA